Molecule: ribosomal RNA, 570 nt
Filed under: Edwardsiella anguillarum
Lineage: Bacteria; Pseudomonadati; Pseudomonadota; Gammaproteobacteria; Enterobacterales; Hafniaceae
Description: bacterial LSU rRNA
Rfam family: Bacterial large subunit ribosomal RNA
Source: RNAcentral
UGACGGCUCGAGCAGGUGCGAAAGCAGGUCUUAGUGAUCCGGUGGUUCUGAAUGGAAGGGCCAUCGCUCAACGGAUAAAAGGUACUCCGGGGAUAACAGGCUGAUACCGCCCAAGAGUUCAUAUCGACGGCGGUGUUUGGCACCUCGAUGUCGGCUCAUCACAUCCUGGGGCUGAAGUAGGUCCCAAGGGUAUGGCUGUUCGCCAUUUAAAGUGGUACGCGAGCUGGGUUUAGAACGUCGUGAGACAGUUCGGUCCCUAUCUGCCGUGGGCGUUGGAAGAUUGAGAGGGGCUGCUCCUAGUACGAGAGGACCGGAGUGGACGCACCGCUGGUGUUCGGGUUGUGAUGCCAAUUGCAUUGCCCGGUAGCUACGUGCGGAAAAGAUAAGCGCUGAAAGCAUCUAAGCGCGAAACUUGCCUCGAGAUGAAUCUUCCCUUGGACCUUGAGUCCACUGAAGGAACGUUUAAGACUAAGACGUUGAUAGGCUGGGUGUGUAAGCGUAGCGAUACGUUGAGCUAACCAGUACUAAUGAUCCGUGAGACUUAACCUUACAACACCGAAGGUGUUUUAG